Molecule: ribosomal RNA, 406 nt
Filed under: uncultured bacterium
Lineage: Bacteria
Description: partial 16S ribosomal RNA
Rfam family: Bacterial small subunit ribosomal RNA
Source: RNAcentral
AUUGAACGCUGGCGGCAGGCCUAACACAUGCAAGUCGAACGAGUGGCGGACGGGUGAGUAAUGUAUGGGAAACUGCCCGAUAGAGGGGGAUAACUACUGGAAACGGUGGCUAAUACCGCAUACUAUCGGAUGAACCCAUAUGGGAUUAGCUGGUAGGUGGGGUAAAGGCUCACCUAGGCGACGAUCCCUAGCUGGUCUGAGAGGAUGACCAGCCACACUGGGACUGAGACACGGCCCAGACUCCUACGGGAGGCAGCAGUGGGGAAUAUUGCACAAUGGGCGCAAGCCUGAUGCAGCCAUGCCGCGUGUAUGAAGAAGGCCUUCGGGUUGUAAAGUACUUUCAGCGGGGAGGCGUUACCCGCAGAAGAAGCACCGGCUAACUCCGUGCCAGCAGCCGCGGUAAUUC